RNAcentral lists this ribosomal RNA (323 nucleotides) under uncultured bacterium. Its description in RNAcentral is "bacterial SSU rRNA". It matches the Rfam family "Bacterial small subunit ribosomal RNA", at positions 1061 to 1382 of the family's 1533-position model. The record is from RNAcentral.
CGUGUCGUGAGAUGUUGGGUUAAGUCCCGCAACGAGCGCAACCCCUAUCUUAUGUUGCCAGCACGUUAUGGUGGGGACUCGUAAGAGACUGCCGGGGUCAACUCGGAGGAAGGUGGGGACGACGUCAAGUCAUCAUGCCCCUUAUGUCCAGGGCUUCACACAUGCUACAAUGGCCAGUACAGAGGGCUGCGAGACCGUGAGGUGGAGCGAAUCCCUUAAAGCUGGUCUCAGUUCGGAUCGGGGUCUGCAACUCGACCCCGUGAAGUCGGAGUCGCUAGUAAUCGCAGAUCAGCAACGCUGCGGUGAAUACGUUCCCGGGCCUU